UGGGGAAUAUUGCACAAUGGAGGGAACUCUGAUGCAGCGACGCCGCGUGAACGAAGAAGGCUUUCGAGUCGUAAAGUUCUUUUAUAUGGGAAGAUAAUGACGGUACCAUAAGAAAAAGCCCCGGCUAACUACGUGCCAGCAGCCGCGGUAAUACGUAGGGGGCUAGCGUUGUCCGGAAUCACUGGGCGUAAAGGGUUCGCAGGCGGAAAUGCAAGUCAGGUGUAAAAGGCAGUAGCUUAACUACUGUAAGCAUUUGAAACUGAAUAUCUUGAGAAGAGUAGAGGUAAGUGGAAUUUUUAGUGUAGCGGUGAAAUGCGUAGAUAUUAAAAAGAAUACCGGUGGCGAAGGCGGCUUACUGGGCUCAUUCUGACGCUGAGGAACGAAAGCGUGGGUAGCAAACAGG
This 403-nucleotide ribosomal RNA is filed under the name bacterium. Its description in RNAcentral is "partial 16S ribosomal RNA". It matches the Rfam family "Bacterial small subunit ribosomal RNA", at positions 355 to 776 of the family's 1533-position model. The record is from RNAcentral.